GCCGAAGUGGCGGAACCGGUAGACGCAGCGGACUCAAAAUCCGCCGAUGGCGACAUCGUGAGAGUUCGAGUCUCUCCUUCGGCACCA
RNAcentral lists this transfer RNA (87 nucleotides) under Solimonas marina. RNAcentral describes it as "tRNA-Leu". It matches the Rfam family "tRNA". Rfam says of the family: Transfer RNA (tRNA) molecules are approximately 80 nucleotides in length. Their secondary structure includes four short double-helical elements and three loops (D, anti-codon, and T loops). The record is from RNAcentral. Lineage: Bacteria; Pseudomonadati; Pseudomonadota; Gammaproteobacteria; Nevskiales; Nevskiaceae.